GUGGUAACCUAACUAUCUAAUCUCUGGUCAUUGUCAAGAAUCUAUAAAUACUGAAACCACAGAAUAAAUUGCACUCUUUUUCCUAUCACACAUUGAGCUGUGUCCAUGUGAAUCAUUUUGUAUCCAACAGCAAUAGUUAGGUACUGUGUAGGUACUGUAGCUGUGAAGGGUGUUUCCCCUCAAAUGUGCUCUUUUCCUUGCUCUGCAGCAGGUACAUCAUCACAGCCAAGGUCCCAGCAGAGGGACAAAUGCUCCUGAGGACAUGGAAGCAUCUCAGCCACAGGAUCAGGGUUGCUGCUCAGCAGUGCCAAGAUGUCAUUCUGUCCCACAGCAGCAGGUGGGCUCCCCAGGCUUCCCUGUCAUGUUCUGGGUCAGCAAGGCCCAGAACUCCACACUGGAAGAAGGGAUUCUCACAGCAGCAGUUGCUUUGGGUGUGCACUCACUGGCUCCCUGGGAAGCACUACCCCAGGCAGCGGUAAUUCUCAUUUAUAUUUUAUUUUAUUUAUUAUUCUCAUUAAAUAUUUAUUAUAUUUA
Long non-coding RNA from Parus major (Great Tit), 534 nucleotides. RefSeq lists it as uncharacterized. The transcript is spliced from 2 exons. The record is from RefSeq and is a predicted model, not a curated record. NCBI's taxonomy places the organism in Eukaryota, Metazoa, Chordata, Aves, Passeriformes, Paridae.